Penaeus monodon (black tiger shrimp) is the source of this 366-nucleotide long non-coding RNA. RefSeq lists it as uncharacterized. The record is from RefSeq and is a predicted model, not a curated record. The transcript has 3 exons. NCBI's taxonomy places the organism in Eukaryota, Metazoa, Arthropoda, Malacostraca, Decapoda, Penaeidae.
CAGGAAUAUUUAAGUUUAUUUGAUAAUACGGGUGAGAUGUUACGUUGCGCAUCUCGAGUGUUUUUUGUUUACCCAUGAGCCCACGUAUGACGUUGCUGUGGCGGUUGACGCCUCGUGUGUGAAUCCACUUCGCAGGGAAUAUUUGUGUUGGCGACCUUUCACAGAAGUGGCAGUUAUUGGGCACAAGUCUUUACACUCAUGAAGCCAGUGUUAUGUCCAAUGGGCUGUGGAUAUGGGUUUGUGCCGUAACUGAGAUUACGCGAUGGCAACUACUGGGAAUCAUGGAUUGUGAUAGUGUGGCCAUUGAAGUUGAAACUUUGCUCCAAUAAAAGACUGUUGCAGCUGAUGGCUUUUCCUUGAUCUCCC